Molecule: signal recognition particle RNA, 148 nt
Filed under: Chlorocebus sabaeus (green monkey)
Lineage: Eukaryota; Metazoa; Chordata; Mammalia; Primates; Cercopithecidae
Description: Metazoan signal recognition particle RNA
Rfam family: Metazoan signal recognition particle RNA
About the family: The signal recognition particle (SRP) is a universally conserved ribonucleoprotein.
Source: Rfam by way of RNAcentral
GCUAGGCAUGGUAGUGCAUGCCUGUAGUCCUAGCUACUCAGGAGGCUGAGGCAAGAGGAUCACUUGAGCCCAGGAGAUCAAGGCUGCAGUGGGCUGCUAUCAUACCACUGUACUCCAGCCUGGGCAACAGAGUGAGACUCUGUCUCAA